RNAcentral lists this ribosomal RNA (450 nucleotides) under uncultured bacterium. RNAcentral describes it as "partial 16S ribosomal RNA". It matches the Rfam family "Bacterial small subunit ribosomal RNA", at positions 354 to 796 of the family's 1533-position model. The record is from RNAcentral.
GUGGGGAAUAUUGGACAAUGGGCGAAAGCCUGAUCCAGCCAUGCCGCGUGUGUGAAGAAGGUCUUCGGAUUGUAAAGCACUUUAAGUUGGGAGGAAGGGCAUUAACCUAAUACGUUAGUGUUUUGACGUUACCAACAGAAUAAGCACCGGCUAACUUCGUGCCAGCAGCCGCGGUAAUACGAAGGGUGCAAGCGUUAAUCGGAAUUACUGGGCGUAAAGCGCGCGUAGGUGGUUCAGCAAGUUGGAGGUGAAAUCCCCGGGCUCAACCUGGGAACUGCCUCCAAAACUACUGGGCUAGAGUACGGUAGAGGGUAGUGGAAUUUCCUGUGUAGCGGUGAAAUGCGUAGAUAUAGGAAGGAACACCAGUGGCGAAGGCGACUACCUGGACUGAUACUGACACUGAGGUGCGAAAGCGUGGGGAGCAAACAGGAUUAGAAACCCCUGUAGUCC